This 891-nucleotide ribosomal RNA is filed under the name uncultured bacterium. RNAcentral describes it as "bacterial SSU rRNA". It matches the Rfam family "Bacterial small subunit ribosomal RNA", at positions 29 to 916 of the family's 1533-position model. The record is from RNAcentral.
AUGAACGCUAGCUACAGGCUUAACACAUGCAAGUCGAGGGGCAGCAUGUUGGUUGCUUGCAACCAAUGAUGGCGACCGGCGCACGGGUGAGUAACGCGUAUCCAACCUACCCUUGUCCAUCGGAUAACCCGUCGAAAGGCGGCCUAACACGAUAUGCGGUUCACCGCAGGCAUCUAACGUGAACGAAAUGUGAAGGAGAAGGAUGGGGAUGCGUCUGAUUAGCUUGUUGGCGGGGUAACGGCCCACCAAGGCUACGAUCAGUAGGGGUUCUGAGAGGAAGGUCCCCCACAUUGGAACUGAGACACGGUCCAAACUCCUACGGGAGGCAGCAGUGAGGAAUAUUGGUCAAUGGACGAGAGUCUGAACCAGCCAAGUAGCGUGCAGGAUGACGGCCCUAUGGGUUGUAAACUGCUUUUAUAGGGGGAUAAAGUGUGUCACGUGUGGCAUAUUGCAGGUACCCUAUGAAUAAGGACCGGCUAAUUCCGUGCCAGCAGCCGCGGUAAUACGGAAGGUCCGGGCGUUAUCCGGAUUUAUUGGGUUUAAAGGGAGCGUAGCCGUUUGGUAAGCGUGUUGUGAAAUGUCGGGGCUCAACCUGGGCAUUGCAGCGCGAACUGCCAGACUUGAGUGCGCAGGAAGUAGGCGGAAUUCGUCGUGUAGCGGUGAAAUGCUUAGAUAUGACGAAGAACUCCGAUUGCGAAGGCAGCCUGCUGUAGCGCAACUGACGCUGAAGCUCGAAAGCGUGGGUAUCGAACAGGAUUAGAUACCCUGGUAGUCCACGCGGUAAACGAUGGAUGCUCGCUGUUUGCGUCUGACGUAAGCGGCCAAGCGAAAGCGUUAAGCAUCCCACCUGGGGAGUACGCCGGCAACGGUGAAACUCAAAUGAAUUGACGG